GAGGCACUAGUAAAACCGACCAUUACACUUCCUUGUCGAGGCAGUAUUGUGGGUUAAACCCCCACGUGCCUUA
RNAcentral lists this transfer RNA (73 nucleotides) under Priacanthus tayenus (purple-spotted bigeye). Its description in RNAcentral is "tRNA-Asp". It matches the Rfam family "tRNA". Rfam says of the family: Transfer RNA (tRNA) molecules are approximately 80 nucleotides in length. Lineage: Eukaryota; Metazoa; Chordata; Actinopteri; Priacanthiformes; Priacanthidae. The record is from RNAcentral.